ACGAACGCUGGCGGCGUGCUUAACACAUGCAAGUCGCACGGAAAGGCCCUGCUUUUGUGGGGUGCUCGAGUGGCGAACGGGUGAGUAACACGUGAGUAACCUGCCCUUGACUUUGGGAUAACUUCAGGAAACUGGGGCUAAUACCGGAUAGGAGCUCCUGCUGCAUGGUGGGGGUUGGAAAGUUUCGGCGGUUGAGGAUGGACUCGCGGCUUAUCAGCUUGUUGGUGGGGUAGUGGCUUACCAAGGCUUUGACGGGUAGCCGGCCUGAGAGGGUGACCGGCCACAUUGGGACUGAGAUACGGCCCAGACUCCUACGGGAGGCAGCAGUGGGGAAUAUUGCACAAUGGGCGGAAGCCUGAUGCAGCAACGCCGCGUGCGGGAUGACGGCCUUCGGGUUGUAAACCGCUUUCGCCUGUGACGAAGCGUGAGUGACGGUAAUGGGUAAAGAAGCACCGGCUAACUACGUG
This 467-nucleotide ribosomal RNA is filed under the name uncultured bacterium. Its description in RNAcentral is "partial 16S ribosomal RNA". It matches the Rfam family "Bacterial small subunit ribosomal RNA", at positions 29 to 507 of the family's 1533-position model. The record is from RNAcentral.